UGCAAGUCGAGCGGACAGAUGGGAGCUUGCUCCCUGAUGUUAGCGGCGGACGGGUGAGUAACACGUGGGUAACCUGCCUGUAAGACUGGGAUAACUCCGGGAAACCGGGGCUAAUACCGGAUGGUUGUUUGAACCGCAUGGUUCAAACAUAAAAGGUGGCUUCGGCUACCACUUACAGAUGGACCCGCGGCGCAUUAGCUAGUUGGUGAGGUAACGGCUCACCAAGGCAACGAUGCGUAGCCGACCUGAGAGGGUGAUCGGCCACACUGGGACUGAGACACGGCCCAGACUCCUACGGGAGGCAGCAGUAGGGAAUCUUCCGCAAUGGACGAAAGUCUGACGGAGCAACGCCGCGUGAGUGAUGAAGGUUUUCGGAUCGUAAAGCUCUGUUGUUAGGGAAGAACAAGUACCGUUCGAAUAGGGCGGUACCUUGACGGUACCUAACCAGAAAGCCACGGCUAACUACGUGCCAGCAGCCGCGGUAAUACGUAGGUGGCAAGCGUUGUCCGGAAUUAUUGGGCGUAAAGGGCUCGCAGGCGGUUUCUUAAGUCUGAUGUGAAAGCCCCCGGCUCAACCGGGGAGGGUCAUUGGAAACUGGGGAACUUGAGUGCAGAAGAGGAGAGUGGAAUUCCACGUGUAGCGGUGAAAUGCGUAGAGAUGUGGAGGAACACCAGUGGCGAAGGCGACUCUCUGGUCUGUAACUGACGCUGAGGAGCGAAAGCGUGGGGAGCGAACAGGAUUAGAUACCCUGGUAGUCCACGCCGUAAACGAUGAGUGCUAAGUGUUAAGGGGGUUUCCGCCCCUUAGUGCUGCAGCUAACGCAUUAAGCACUCCGCCUGGGGGAGUACGGUCGCAAGACUGAAACUCAAAGGAAUUGACGGGGGCCCGCACAAGCGGUGGAACCAUGGUGGUUUAAUUCGAAGCAACGCGAAGAACCUUACCAGGUCUUGACAUCCUCUGACAUCCUAGAAG
RNAcentral lists this ribosomal RNA (972 nucleotides) under Bacillus subtilis. RNAcentral's name for it is "bacterial SSU rRNA". It matches the Rfam family "Bacterial small subunit ribosomal RNA", at positions 56 to 1005 of the family's 1533-position model. The record is from RNAcentral. Lineage: Bacteria; Bacillati; Bacillota; Bacilli; Caryophanales; Bacillaceae.